UGUUACUAUAACGAGACACACUAAGAUCACAUUUAUUUGCAGGUUUUUUAGGCAUAUUUCCCGGACAGACCUGCUCUCUGUGUGGCAUAUUGUGUUCAUCAAUACAUCGAUCUUACAACGCCGCUUCGGGCCCCCUUUUUGUCUCUUAUGUCUGACCUCACAGUCCAGUCUUCUGUCCUAGCAUUGCCCAUUGGAUAAGAUGUCUUCUCAAGCUUGCCAGUAUUGACCCCUCUUUUAGUGCUCAUUCAGCCAGAGGUGCGGCCACUUUAUUGGACUUUCGGGCAGAUUGAUCCAGAGAAUCUACUUUUCA
This is a non-coding RNA of Pelobates cultripes (western spadefoot toad), 310 nucleotides long. Lineage: Eukaryota; Metazoa; Chordata; Amphibia; Anura; Pelobatidae. The record is from the annotation of a GenBank genome assembly.